RNAcentral lists this long non-coding RNA (1305 nucleotides) under Olea europaea subsp. europaea. Lineage: Eukaryota; Viridiplantae; Streptophyta; Magnoliopsida; Lamiales; Oleaceae. The record is from RNAcentral.
CUCGGCUUGCCAGAAGCAUUCGAUAUAGAGCUGCUAGAUAUUGUAUAAUCGAAGGAGUCCUGUUCCGUAGAAGUUUCACACUCCCCUAUCUAAGAUGUCUCAAACCUUCCGAGUCUCUUCAAGCAAUGACUGAAGUUCAUGAAGGCAUUUGUGGAAAUCACCAGGGAGCCUGAGCUCUUGCAUAUAAGUUGAUAAGGUAUGGAUACUACUGGCCAAGUUUGAAGAAAGAUGCCACAGAUUACGUCCGGAAGUACGACAAGUGCCAAAAGAUUGGCCACCUCAUACAUGCUCCUGUUGAGGAAUUAACAUCCAUUCACUACUCAACUCCUUUCGAACAGUGGAGAGUUGAUAUUCUUGGGCCAUUCCCUUUGGCCCGAGGACAAUUAAAAUUUGUAGCUGUGGCAGUGGAGUAUUUCACAAAGUGGGUAGAAGCCGAAACACUAGCAAGAAUUUCAGAGCCGAAGCUCAGGUCAUUCAUAUGGAAGUCCGUCAUAUGCAGGUUUAGGAUACCAAAAGUCCUCAUCACAGAUAACGGAAGGUAAUUCGACAAUCCCCAGUUCAGGAACUUCUGCGCCAACAACGGGAUUGAUCAUCGCUUGACCUCGGUAUCACACCCACAAAGUAAUGGGCUAGCCGAAGUAACUAAUCGAAUCAUAUUGCUGGACCUCCGAACAAGGAUAGGGGACGCCAAAGGUGACUGGGCUGAUGAACUGCCUUCGAUACUAUGGGAAUAUAGGACUUCACACAAGACAGCAACUGGUGAAACGCCCUUCAUGCUUGCUUUUGGACUUGAGGCUACCAUCCCAAUCGAGGUUAGCCUCUCCACAAUAAGAAAGCUCGAGACAAAUAGGGAGACACAAACUACUGAGCACCUUGACUUGCUUGAGGAGGUAAGGGAGCAAGCCUCACUUAGGGCUGCAAGUUAUCAAAAUAGAACGGCGAAGUACUUCAACGACAAGGUCCAGAUGAGGAGGUUCAGAGCUGGUGAUCUUGUCCUUAGAAAAGCGGAAGCCGCCGGACACCAACCAGGGAAGCUCGGACCGACAUGGGAGGGACCCUACGAGGUCAUAAGAAAACUUUAAGGUGGAGCCUAUAGCCUCAGAGACACAUCGGGGAAACCACUCCCAAGGCCAUGGAACGUCGGUAAUCUAAAAAUAUACUAUAAGUGACUAGCUAUAGCUAUAAUUUUCCCUUUUACGGCUUGCAUGCCCGCUUUAUGUUUGCUUAAUUUCGUUUUUACUUUUCGGGUUCUAAUGCCCUGUUAGCUCAUGCUCGAAUAAGCUCGGGUAUCAACACCCUUGAGCC